This 490-nucleotide ribosomal RNA is filed under the name uncultured bacterium. Its description in RNAcentral is "partial 16S ribosomal RNA". It matches the Rfam family "Bacterial small subunit ribosomal RNA", at positions 30 to 507 of the family's 1533-position model. The record is from RNAcentral.
AUUGAACGCUGGCGGCAGGCUUAACACAUGCAAGUCGAGCGGUAACAGAGAGAAGCUUGCUUCUCUGCUGACGAGCGGCGGACGGGUGAGUAAUGCCUAGGAAUCUGCCUAGUAGUGGGGGAUAACUUGCCGAAAGGUAAGCUAAUACCGCAUACGUCCUACGGGAGAAAGGAGGGGACCUUCGGGCCUUUCGCUAUUAGAUGAGCCUAGGUCGGAUUAGUUAGUUGGUGAGGUAAUGGCUCACCAAGACCACGAUCCGUAACUGGUCUGAGAGGAUGAUCAGUCACACUGGAACUGAGACACGGUCCAGACUCCUACGGGAGGCAGCAGUGGGGAAUAUUGGACAAUGGGGGGAACCCUGAUCCAGCCAUGCCGCGUGUGUGAAGAAGGUCUUAGGAUUGUAAAGCACUUUAAGUUGGGAGGAAGAGCAGUUAACUAAUAUUUGACUGUUUUGACGUUACCGACAGAAUAAGCACCGGCUAACUUCGUG